This 365-nucleotide ribosomal RNA is filed under the name Prymnesium polylepis. Its description in RNAcentral is "partial Eukaryotic large subunit ribosomal RNA". It matches the Rfam family "Eukaryotic large subunit ribosomal RNA", at positions 606 to 972 of the family's 3401-position model. Lineage: Eukaryota; Haptophyta; Prymnesiales; Prymnesiaceae. The record is from RNAcentral.
GUCACUCUGUGCUCGUGAUGCUGGCAAAAUGGUUUUCUUUACCCCGUCUUGAAACACGGACCAAGGAGUCUAACAUAUGUGCAAGUACAAAGGUGGCAAACCUGCGUGCAUAAUGAAAGUAACAGUGGUUGGAUCCCUUCGGGGUGCACAAUCCGCCGGCCACAAUCCUUCGGGAGAAAGGUCUGAGUGUGAGCAUACAUGUUGGGACCCGAAAGAUGGUGAACUAUGCCUGAGGAGGGUGAAGCCAGAGGAAACUCUGGUGGAGGCUCGUAGCGAUACUGACGUGCAAAUCGUUCGUCGAACUUGGGUAUAGGGGCGAAAGACUAAUCGAACCAUCUAGUAGCUGGUUCCCUCCGAAGUUUCCC